This 231-nucleotide long non-coding RNA is filed under the name Elaeis guineensis (African oil palm). RNAcentral describes it as "long non-coding RNA (EGUI_LNC041081)". Lineage: Eukaryota; Viridiplantae; Streptophyta; Magnoliopsida; Arecales; Arecaceae. The record is from RNAcentral.
AAUACCCUCAUAGAUGAUCGUGUAUAGAGAUCCUUAUCUCUAUCAAUAACAAAAUCAAGAUAUACUAUUUAUGAUCAAAUACUUUAAUCCUUGAUUGACCACAAUACUUGAUUAAUAAUUUAAUUGCUAAUUUUCUUAUUUCUACUAUUUAAUAUCUGAAUUACCUAAAUCCUAGAUUUAGGUAAUGCAGGCAAGGAAAAAAAUAGAAGUGUUUCCUUUUAGCGUGGGGGC